RNAcentral lists this ribosomal RNA (471 nucleotides) under uncultured bacterium. Its description in RNAcentral is "bacterial SSU rRNA". It matches the Rfam family "Bacterial small subunit ribosomal RNA", at positions 791 to 1247 of the family's 1533-position model. The record is from RNAcentral.
UAGUCCUAGCCCUAAACGAUGAGCACUUGGCUGUGGUCGUAUCAACUCGAUCACAGCCGUAGCGAAAGUGGUAAGUGCUCCGCCUGGGGAGUACGGUCACAAGGCUGAAACUCAAAGGAAUUGACGGGGGCUCACACAACCGGUGGAGGAUGUUGCUUAAUUCGAAGCAACGCGAAGAACCUUACCUAGCCUUGACAUGUACGUGGUACGGACCUGAAAGGUAAAGGACCCUAGCUCUGCUAGGGAGCGUACACAGGUGUUGCAUGGCUGUCGUCAGCUCGUGUCGUGAGAUGUUGGGUUAAGUCCCGUAACGAGCGAAACCCUUGCCUUUAGUUGCCAGCGGAUUAUGCCGGGGACUCUAGAGGGACUGCCGGCGUCAAGCCGGAGGAAGGUGGGGGACGACGUCAAGGUCAUCAUGGGCCCUUAUGGCUAGGGGCUGCAAACGUCCUACAAUGGGGCGGUACAAAGGGG